GCAAGUCGAGCGAGAAAGUUACUUCGGUAACGAGUAAAGCGGCGAACGGGUGAGUAACACGUAAAUAACCUACCUUUAAAUCUGGGACAACAUUGCUAACGCGAUGCUAAUACCGGAUGUGAUUAUAAGGUCUCAUGGCUUAAUAAUUAAAGAUGACCUCUCCUUGGAAGUUAUUGUUUGAAGAUGGAUUUGCGCACUAUUAGUUAGUUGGUAAGGUAACGGCUUACCAAGACGAUGAUAGUUAGCCGACCUGAGAGGGUGAUC
This 264-nucleotide ribosomal RNA is filed under the name uncultured bacterium. RNAcentral's name for it is "partial 16S ribosomal RNA". It matches the Rfam family "Bacterial small subunit ribosomal RNA", at positions 57 to 305 of the family's 1533-position model. The record is from RNAcentral.